Molecule: ribosomal RNA, 253 nt
Filed under: uncultured bacterium
Lineage: Bacteria
Description: partial 16S ribosomal RNA
Rfam family: Bacterial small subunit ribosomal RNA
Source: RNAcentral
GACAGAGGGUGCAAACGUUGUUCGGAAUUACUGGGCAUAAAGCGCACGUAGGUGGUCCGCUAAGUCGAGUGUGAAAUCCCCCGGCUCAACCGGGGAAUUGCGCUCGAUACUGGUGGGCUAGAGGUCGGUAGGGGUGAGCGGAACUCCAGGUGGAGCGGUGAAAUGCGUAGAUAUCUGGAGGAACACCGGUGGCGAAAGCGGCUCACUGGAUCGAAUCUGACACUGAGGUGCGAAAGCUAGGGUAGCAAACGGG